Molecule: long non-coding RNA, 1668 nt
Filed under: Homo sapiens (human)
Lineage: Eukaryota; Metazoa; Chordata; Mammalia; Primates; Hominidae
Description: non-protein coding lnc-JUN-2:3
Source: RNAcentral
AGGGUCAGGGCCCGCGGAAACCCUCAGCCUGGCGGGCCGGGAGGCCGCGGUGCUGCACUGGCUCGGCGCGCUCCCCGAGUGGCGCUCAGGCGGGGCGCGUUCAUUUCAUCUACAGACUGUCGGGAAGGCUUCCCGAACUCCUCCUCCCUGCCCGCCUUUGCGCAGGGCCGGACUCUUCGGAAACUGAAAUCACGGGCCGCCCGGCCCCCACCAGUCCUCGUGGGAUCCGGCCCGGGUUAACCUUCUAUGGGGAGGCCCAGGAGGGCCGGGCGGAGCGCCGGGGCGGGCGUGCGCUGACGUGGCGAGCGGCUCCCUCCACCCGCUCCUCCCGCGGGCACUGCCGAGGCCCAUGGGCGGGAAGCCGGGCGGCGGGCGGGACGUGGCCUCGGUCCCGGCCCUGCCCCGCCCCGCCGCCACUGAGACUCCCAGCGCCACCAACGUCGGAGUUGCAGUUUCUUUAGCUGUCAUAUGCAGACAAGUACUACCCACCUCGCCUUUGGAGUGAGCAGCAUCCCUGUGCCCAUCCUGCUGUGAUUCAGGAGUCUCGCAGAAGACAUCAGAAUGCCUUUCUCUGAGUCACAGUCUGUAUCUUCUAGAAAAGGCUGUCCAUCUUCACCCCAAGCCCACUGGCUCCUGAGAUACGACAUCCAGACCCAGUGCAGCUGGACCUGGCCCAGGAAGAUCAUGCGGUUUCUGGGAAGCACUGGAGAAGGAAAAGGCUGAAGAAAGGAAGACCGGAAAAGAAAUACAAGUCCUUCCGCCUUGGCAAAGAUGAUAGUACCGUUCCCUUCAGUGUUCCGGUUCUGCUCUAUUGGAUAAGUUCCGGUUUGACUAUGACUACGUGAAAAUGUGGAACCAGACCUUCACCCCACAUUCCAGCUCCAGCUCUACCACAGAGGAAGUGCAAUAUCACCUUAGUUAUUCAACACAUUAUGCUCCUCGUGAUACAACCAGAGUUCACAUCAGCAAUCUUGGCAGCUCUCACCACGCUGCUGACUCACGACUCUCUCAUGUCCCAAUUUCCUGUCCAUUGUUCUUUCCUCUACUUGGCCUGAUUUCUAAAGGCCUCUCUUGGUUGCAUUAAGCGGGAUUCCUGAGGGAUUCCCUUGGCAGUUACCUUGGGGGAGCUCUUAGGUUUGGGGCUGAUCCAUGUCCUCUAAAUGUAGGACUUCAAAGCUCCCAAAGAUAGGCAGGCCCAGUGGGAAGCUGGGAAAUGCUCUCUGACCCCUCUGGGAGGGCUGGCAGUCAGAGGGCCUUUUGGAAAGAGUCAGACCUGAUCCAUAAGUCCCUGGAAAACACCCUGCCCAGGGAGCAAAUGCCACUGUGGCCUUGACUGAGGCUUCAGAAGAGUUUGGGAGCUGCAAUUCAUCCACACACGCAUUCAUUUUCAAGUAGUGGUUUGCAGUUCAGGCUUUGGAGCCACAUAAGCCUGGCUUCAAAGCCACUUUCCAGCUUUGUAGGAAGUCUCUACAUUUUUAAACCUCCAUUUUUUUUUCCUGUAAAACUGGGGUCUUCAUGGUACUUAACUUCAUCGUGAUGUUGAGAGAAUGAAAAGAAAAAGGAUAAAUAAAUGGCUUAGCCUCGUGCCUUGGCACAUAUUGUGAUUGUUUCUUCACGUCUUUGUUCUCCUGGUGAAGCAUUUAUUCAGCAAGUGUUCACCAAGAGGCU